RNAcentral lists this long non-coding RNA (2490 nucleotides) under Daphnia pulicaria. RNAcentral describes it as "uncharacterized LOC124350881, transcript variant X1". Lineage: Eukaryota; Metazoa; Arthropoda; Branchiopoda; Diplostraca; Daphniidae. The record is from RNAcentral.
AUUUGGAGGGCGCAGUCAUGGCGGUUAUGGCGGAGUGCAAUGUGCAAGAAGAGCAGAUUUUCUGAUGGCUAUAAAUAAUUUUUGUAGCGUAAUUCAUAGAUGGAGAAGGAAACUUACACUAAAAAAAAAAAAAACGAAAUGCUGGGUUGAUGAUGCAAAAUUUUCAUGUUUCCAUGUUUGUUAAACAGCAUUAGCAGAAUAUAAAUAUUUGGCUUGUCACGUCAGACAAUCCCAAACUCAGGGAAGAAGUCUAGAACAAGUGGCUAAAGCGGACACACUCUACCAAUGUGUUCAACAAGAUCAGAAGUGCCAACUGCCAAGGUUCUAAGGACUUAAAAACGGUUUCUCAUUUCACAGUCAUGGUGAUCCCAAAGAAGAUGACCAUUGAAGUUUUAGUUCUCUAUCCAGAGACAAAAUGAUAGUUGGCUCAAAACAAUGGAAUCUACAUGGCUCAUUUUAUCGUCACUCUGGGUGGUGGACAUGUUACAAAAUUUUUCCUUAAGAAUGCAGUCAACUAUUAUCAAAUCAAUUACUAGAUGACCUUUUUACUCCUAUCAUUUGGUGGAUAGUGGCAGUAUAGUUUGAUACAGGGAUCCAUUUCAUGGAGGAUAAAGCAUUUGACAGUAGCUAUCCAAAAUAAGCAACUUGUGUGUAUUACGUUUCGGAUGGUUUCAAUUCGGACUAGCCCGGUGCAUCAGUGGGCCUUCUCCGACAAACCCAGAUUAGUUUCAUUAUUAAUCAUAUUUCGAAUUUUUAGAAAAUGGCUAAUUGGUGUUUGUUUUUGUUUUUUUGUUUUUUUUUAAACAUAUGUUGGUGGUGGACCGGAAAUCCCAGAAUCGGAUGAGAUAUCUCGCGGUGACAGUAGAACAGGAUGCAUAUUCGGAAGUCAGCACAUCAAGACUCGGAAACGUUUGUCGGUUCUUCGAUGCCGACGUCGGCUGCCUUGACUGAGUUGCUACCUGGACGCUUCCCGACUCUUCACUCGCUUCGACGACGACAAAGAUCCUAUCGUGCUGGAUCGUGGAUCGAAUCAUUCGUUCGGCUGAAUAUCUCGAUUCUCUCGAAUGACCUGGCGCAACAACUCACAGAUCUCGUCCGGGAUCAACUCGCUUAUUCAAUCCCGCCAUUUUUGGGAUCCAGCGAAGAAAACUUUUACUUCUCAGCUGAAUUUUUCAGUGUCGUACCAAAUGAGGUCGUUGUCCACUUUUCAACAACGGAUGCCACUGCUUCUAGUCAAUCUGCUGGACCGUAUUCCGGCUUAAAAAAUUCAUUUCAGAUUUUGUGAUUGUUUGAAAUUGCCGUGAACUAGUUUGUUUGUUUUUUGUUUGUUUUCUGCAAUUCGUCUUGUUGUAGAGCGCCUAGACUAGCAUAUCUGAGUAAGUGUAACAGCUUGCGUAUUGACCCAGUCUAAGGUACUGGAGAAAGUCUGAUUGGUGGCGCUCGUGUGCCCAUGGCCACUUUUAGUGAUGGUAAGUCAGAGAACCCUGCCGUUGUUUUUGUCAUAAAAGUGGUGAUUUAUGAUUCCGGCCCCUCUAGUUACAUUUCGUCGUCAGGAACAAAAAGGUUUUCCAUUCAGGGUUCACCUGUUCACCAUCUCUCAUACCGGUCUGUUACAGCAGUAGUCAACGGCGUACAGCGAAUUUUUUAUAUCAAGUUUUUUUGUUUUUUUUUUUCAUUUAAAUGCUACAGUGCAUUAAUGUUAGUAGUUUUGUGAGUAAUAGUUGAUUGGGGAAGUAUUGGGUUAGUACAUGCAUGGUUUUAUAUAUUAUAAGAACAGACAUGGGAAACAUUGGGAGGUUAUAAAGGGGGGACAUGUGGAAGGAGUAGGAAAUGAACCUGGGGCCUUUCUUAUCAACACUAGGGGCCGCAACCAUGACACAGUGGUCCAACAUCCAAUUUGCAAAAUCUCGGGAAUUUUAUCAGAUCCUUUAAAGGGCUGGCUGAGAAUGCUGUGGAAUGUUUCAAUUCAGGCAAUACAGGAGGUAGCUAUUGGUUAUAGUUCAAAAUUGUCACGAGUUACGUGUUUGAAUCUUGUAGGAAAAUGGAGGACUAAGAGGGUAGGAAGCAAAAGUGCAAAGGAAUCUGGAAUCGUCCAGAAAAAUGCAAUGUAUAAGAAAAGAAACGUGUUAAGUUAAAAUUUUAUUUUUCAACGGGAUAUUUACAUCCAUUAGCAUGAUUCCAUUUAUAGUUGAAAUAUUUGGUUAGAAACGUACAACGUUACUAUAAUUGCGUAUCUAAGAGAACGUUACAUAGUGUUUAAGGAUUGAUCCACCGUAGUGUUGGUAGUUUCAAUGGUACACGUGACUAUUUCUUUCAGUCUUCAUUCUGCAGUUUUGUGUUGGUAAUGGAUUUGUAUGUUUGUCGAAUUAGUGUUCUGGUCAUCCGUGUGGACAAUCGGUUUAACUGAGUGUUUGCUUGUCAAGGUUGUUUUAACUCUUACUUUUAUACGGCAGCAUAAAACUAAAUCAAUAAAUGUGUAAUUGAAAAUAA